UACGUAGGGGGCAAGCGUUGUUCGGAUUUAUUGGGCGUAAAGAGCGUGUAGGCGGCUUCACAGGUCCGCUGUGAAAACUCGAGGCUCAACCUCGAGCUGUCGGUGGAAACUGUGUAGCUAGAGUCCGGAAGAGGAGAGUGGAAUUCCCGGUGUAGCGGUGAAAUGCGCAGAUAUCGGGAAGAACACCCGUGGCGAAGGCGGCUCUCUGGGACGGUACUGACGCUGAGACGCGAAAGCGUGGGGAGCGAACAGG
Molecule: ribosomal RNA, 253 nt
Filed under: uncultured bacterium
Lineage: Bacteria
Description: partial 16S ribosomal RNA
Rfam family: Bacterial small subunit ribosomal RNA
Source: RNAcentral